This 220-nucleotide long non-coding RNA is filed under the name Elaeis guineensis (African oil palm). RNAcentral's name for it is "long non-coding RNA (EGUI_LNC057604)". The record is from RNAcentral. Lineage: Eukaryota; Viridiplantae; Streptophyta; Magnoliopsida; Arecales; Arecaceae.
UAGGACGACUCAGGGUUAAACUGUCAACCCUGAUUAGAUCAUCCGAAUCGUGCUCAACUCAAACAGUCUUGUGACUCCUCACAAAGACUACCCUGGCCAAGGUUUUUCUAAAUUGAAACACGACUGUACACAGCUCCUAAACUGGAGUGGUCAAUUCCAUCUUGACACACGCACCGACAAGUCAAGUACUUGACUACACCCAGCAGCCUUCCAUCACUGA